ACGUAGGGGGCGAGCGUUGUCCGGAUUUAUUGGGCGUAAAGGGCACGCAGGCGGUCCGCCGCGUUCGGGGUGACAGCUCUCGGCUUAACCGAGAGAGUGUCCUGAAAACGGGUGGACUUGAGGGCCAAAGAGGAACACAGAAUUCCGGGUGUAGUGGUGAAAUGCGUAGAUAUCCGGAGGAAUACCAACGGCGAAGGCAGUGUUCUGGGUGGUACCUGACGCUGAGGUGCGAAAGCCAGGGGAGCGAACGGGAUUAGAUACCCCGGUAGUCCUGGCCGUAAACGAUGACCACUAGGUGUGGGAGGUAUCGACCCCUUCCGUGCCGCAGUUAACACAGUAAGUGGUCCGCCUGGGGAGUACGGUCGCAAGAUUA
Molecule: ribosomal RNA, 373 nt
Filed under: uncultured bacterium
Lineage: Bacteria
Description: bacterial SSU rRNA
Rfam family: Bacterial small subunit ribosomal RNA
Source: RNAcentral